Numida meleagris (helmeted guineafowl) is the source of this 827-nucleotide long non-coding RNA. RefSeq lists it as uncharacterized. The transcript has 3 exons. NCBI's taxonomy places the organism in Eukaryota, Metazoa, Chordata, Aves, Galliformes, Numididae. The record is from RefSeq and is a predicted model, not a curated record.
AAUUUUAGCUUUACUUUGUAUCCCUGGUAUUCUGCAAAGAUAAUAAAGUGACAAAGACUAGCUGGGUUUAUGUUCAUAAUAAAUAGAUGAACAAUUCCACACCUAUCUUGGUAUAUUUUUGUAUACUUCUUGUGAUGGAAGAAGAAGAAAGCUAACAGGUGGCAGAAUUAGCCUUUUACAUUCAAGUGCAAAAUUGCACUUCCAAUUUUACAGAAAGCUAUUGAGAGUUGUACUUGCACACAGGGUUAGCUUCUGCCCCCAACCUUGUAAAGCAACACCAGAAGUCACCAAGCUAUCAAUGUUCAAUAACUAGUGUUCUCUAGGAGUCCUCCAGGUCAGAAGUGACGUCACAAUUGGUUUAGCUCUCCUUGACAUUGUACAUGCCCGUGCUUAUAGAGAUGCUUUUGAGUAGAAAGUACUAGAGCACGCAGUAAAUUCUAAAAUUUUCCAACAAACAUAGGUUUAUUUUCUGUGUGCUGCUUGUACAGCUGAGACCUAUAACAGUGGACAGUAAAGGGUGUACGAUGCAGCUCCUGUACAUGUAUGGAACACUAAGAGGCAUGGAAGGACAUGGAGGGGCAGCAAUCCUCAGCAGUCCUACUCAGCAAAGCAAGUUUUCCCAGGCCUGUCUUCAAGCUGAUGAAGCACAGAACAUUUGGCAAUAGAAAUGCUGAAUGAUAAGGACCUCAACACUGAAAAUUUGACUGAAAGCACUGGCAUUAGCAAAAUAGAAAUUCACUUUUCUAUGUCUUAUUUUUUACUGUAUGGCAGCAGACAAAAUUAUGUGUGGUUAAAUAAACAUUCUGUUUUAAAUGAUAAUAAAUCAU